Photinus pyralis (common eastern firefly) is the source of this 715-nucleotide long non-coding RNA. RefSeq lists it as uncharacterized. The transcript has 3 exons. The record is from RefSeq and is a predicted model, not a curated record. NCBI's taxonomy places the organism in Eukaryota, Metazoa, Arthropoda, Insecta, Coleoptera, Lampyridae.
CUACGACAACUUGUACCUGUCAUAGCACAGUACUAAGUGAGUUGUGACCAUCUCACCUUCUUGGUGACGUAAUACUGAUUGCAAUUACUCUCUCACUAGUGUCUGUCCUCUAUCAAUUACCUAGUUUACUUUAUAUCAACCAGUGUGACUAUGAUUUCAUAACCAUAUUAGUUUUUUGAAGUAAACUGGUUUUCUGUAAACCAGACAGUAUUUCAGUCAAUUUUUCCGUUACCAAGCUGAGCGAAUUCGUGGAUUGUUAUACCUCAUUUAGUAGUGUACGAUGAUUAGCUUAAAAGUUGUAAUGGAAGGUAAGUAAUUACAUUACAAUAGGGGUAUGUUCGCUUGUUUACGUAUUGGUUAAUGUAAACUCGUCCCUGAUAGACGAUGAUUUGUACCGUAACUGGUUGCAUAAUUCAUUAAUAAUCGAACAGACCCGAUAGGUUUUAACCUGCAUGAUUGACCUAAUAGACGUUUUCGAUUGUUCGCAGAGCAAGAAGAAAUUGAGUACUCUUCCCUGCUGAGAUCUGGCUCAAGUCAUCCCUCAAUACUGCUGAAUACGGUCCCGAAAACGAGGUACCUCCAACUUGCCAUGCCUGUUUUCCAGAAGUCAGGAAAUGUCAACAUUCGUGGGUAGCAGAGUGCGUCAUCCAGUGUAUGUCUCUUCUAAAGCGAGCUUAAAUUAAAGGAUUCCAGAAGAGCACCCUUAUAAAGGUAG